UACGUAGGGUGCAAGCGUUAAUCGGAAUACUGGGCGUAAAGCGUGCGCAGGCGGUUUUGUAAGUCUGUCGUGAAAUCCCCGGGCUCAACCUGGGAAUUGCGAUGGAGACUGCAAGGCUAGAAUCUGGCAGAGGGGGGUAGAAUUCCGACGUGUGAGCAGUGAAAUGCGUAGAGAUAGUGGGAGGAACACCGAUGGCGAAGGCAGCCCC
Molecule: ribosomal RNA, 208 nt
Filed under: uncultured bacterium
Lineage: Bacteria
Description: partial 16S ribosomal RNA
Rfam family: Bacterial small subunit ribosomal RNA
Source: RNAcentral